RNAcentral lists this ribosomal RNA (460 nucleotides) under uncultured bacterium. RNAcentral describes it as "partial 16S ribosomal RNA". It matches the Rfam family "Bacterial small subunit ribosomal RNA", at positions 338 to 795 of the family's 1533-position model. The record is from RNAcentral.
CCUACGGGAGGCAGCAGUGAGGAAUAUUGGUCAAUGGACGAGAGUCUGAACCAGCCAAGUAGCGUGAAGGAUGACUGCCCUAUGGGUUGUAAACUUCUUUUAUAAAGGAAUAAAACGAGGCACGUGUGCCUUUUUGCAUGUACUUUAUGAUUAAGGAUCGGCUAACUCCGUGCCAGCAGCCGCGGUAAUACGGAGGAUCCGAGCGUUAUCCGGAUUUAUUGGGUUUAAAGGGAGCGUAGAUGGGUUGUUAAGUCAGUUGUGAAAGUUUGCGGCUCAACCGUAAAAUUGCAAUUGAUACUGGCAGUCUUGAGUACAGUUGAGGUAGGCGGAAUUCGUGGUGUAGCGGUGAAAGGCUUAGAUAUCACGAAGAACCCCGAUUGCGAAGGCAGCUUACUAAACUGUGACUGACAUUGAUGCUCGAAAGUGUGGGUAUCAAACAGGAUUAGAUACCCUUGUAGUC